UUUUAAUUGCGUUAGUGAUGGCAGCGGCAUCCUUUUGCAAAGACUUUUGCAAAAGAUUUAGCGAACAGCACGCCCUUUU
Molecule: small RNA, 79 nt
Filed under: Mangrovimonas sp. DI 80
Lineage: Bacteria; Pseudomonadati; Bacteroidota; Flavobacteriia; Flavobacteriales; Flavobacteriaceae
Description: Flavo-1 RNA
Rfam family: Flavo-1 RNA
Source: Rfam by way of RNAcentral